This 22-nucleotide microRNA is filed under the name Xenopus laevis (African clawed frog). RNAcentral describes it as "Xla-Mir-181-P1a4_3p (mature (guide))". The record is from RNAcentral. RNAcentral also lists the same sequence under 1 other name. Lineage: Eukaryota; Metazoa; Chordata; Amphibia; Anura; Pipidae.
ACCAUCGAUCGUUGACUGUACA